UUCUUAUAUCAAUAAUGUUAGUCUGUUAACAAAAUUACGUAGUGGAACAUUAAAGUUAAAUAUUGAAGUAGGUCGUUAUAAUAAUAUUCCUAGAGAAAAUCGUUUAUGUGAAUGUUGUAAAAUGUGUGUUAUUGAAGAUGAAUAUCAUUUUGUUCUUGUUUGUCCAGCUUAUAGAUCUGUACGAACCCAAUUUUUACCAAAGUAUUAUUGUUCUUGGCCUAAUGAUCGAAAACUAUUAAAUAUACUACAAGCUUCUAGUAAGUCU
Molecule: long non-coding RNA, 265 nt
Filed under: Mytilus galloprovincialis (Mediterranean mussel)
Lineage: Eukaryota; Metazoa; Mollusca; Bivalvia; Mytilida; Mytilidae
Source: RNAcentral